UGAGGAAUAUUGGUCAAUGGGCGCAAGCCUGAACCAGCCAAGUAGCGUGAGGGAUGACUGCCCUACGGGUUGUAAACCUCUUUUGUUUGGGAAUAAAGUGCGGGACGCGUCCCGCAUUGCAUGUACCAUUUGAAUAAGGACCGGCUAAUUCCGUGCCAGCAGCCGCGGUAAUACGGAAGGUCCGGGCGUUAUCCGGAUUUAUUGGGUUUAAAGGGAGCGCAGGCCGUGGGUUAAGCGUGUCGUGAAAUUCCGUCGCUCAACGGCGGACGUGCGGCGCGAACUGGUCCAC
RNAcentral lists this ribosomal RNA (289 nucleotides) under uncultured Prevotella sp. Its description in RNAcentral is "partial 16S ribosomal RNA". It matches the Rfam family "Bacterial small subunit ribosomal RNA", at positions 355 to 641 of the family's 1533-position model. The record is from RNAcentral. Lineage: Bacteria; Pseudomonadati; Bacteroidota; Bacteroidia; Bacteroidales; Prevotellaceae.